AUUGAACGCUGGCGGCAUGCCUAACACAUGCAAGUCGAACGGCAGCACAGUAAAGAUUUCGGUCUUUAUGGGUGGCGAGUGGCGGACGGGUGAGUAAUGCGUAGGAAUCUGUCCUGGAGAGUAGGAUGACCCGAGGAAACUCGGGCUAAUACUGCAUGAUAUCGAGAGAUCAAAGGCAGGGGACCCUUCGGGGCCUUGCGCUCUAGGAUGAGCCUACGUCGGAUUAGCUAGUUGGUGGGGUAAAGGCCUACCAAGGCGACGAUCCGUAGCUGGUCUGAGAGGAUGACCAGCCACACUGGGACUGAGACACGGCCCAGACUCCUACGGGAGGCAGCAGUGGGGAAUCUUGGACAAUGGGGGAAACCCUGAUCCAGCGAUGCCGCGUGUGUGAAGAAGGCCUUCGGGUUGUAAAGCACUUUAGCUGGGGAAGAAAAGUAAUGAGUGAAUAACUGAUUGCUCUGACGGUACCCAAAGAAUAAGCACCGGCUAACUCUGUGCCAGCCGCCGCCGUAA
This 513-nucleotide ribosomal RNA is filed under the name uncultured bacterium. RNAcentral's name for it is "partial 16S ribosomal RNA". It matches the Rfam family "Bacterial small subunit ribosomal RNA", at positions 30 to 523 of the family's 1533-position model. The record is from RNAcentral.